CCUUUACAAUGCACGCAAGUGUGAUAAGGGAACCCCAAGUGAUAAUGCAAAGCAUUAUCUUUUGCUUAGAGCAAAUAUCUAAGCGAAUAAGUGGUGGGCAAUACCUGUGCCAGCCGCCGCGGUAACCCAGGAGCCACAAGUGGCAGCCACCUUUAUUUGGCCUAAAGCGUCCGUAGCCGGUUUUGUAAAUUCUCUGUGAAAUCGUUGCGCUUAACGUAACGGCGUGCAGAGAACACUGCAAGACUAGGAACCGGGAGGAGUUGGAGGUAUUUUGGGGGGAGCGGUAAAAUGCUAUAAUCCCCGAAGGACCACCUGUGGCGAAAGCGUCCAACUAGAACGGAUUCGACGGUGAGGGACGAAAGCUAGGGGAGCAAUCCGGAUUAGAUACCCGAGUAGUCCUAGCCGUAAACGCUGUGAGCUAGGUGUUGCACAUUCUUAGGGAAUGUGCAGUGUCGUAGCGAAGGUGCUAAGCUCACCGCCUGGGGAGUACGGUCGCAAGGCUGAAACUUAAAGGAAUUGGCGGGGGAGCACUGGG
RNAcentral lists this ribosomal RNA (535 nucleotides) under uncultured archaeon. Its description in RNAcentral is "bacterial SSU rRNA". It matches the Rfam family "Archaeal small subunit ribosomal RNA", at positions 347 to 883 of the family's 1478-position model. The record is from RNAcentral.